UGAGGAAUAUUGGUCAAUGGGCGUAAGCCUGAACCAGCCAUCCCGCGUGAAGGAAGAAGGCGCUAUGCGUCGUAAACUUCUUUUCCGGAGGAAUAAAAUUUCGUACGCGUACGGAACUGAAGGUACUCCGGGAAUAAGCAUCGGCUAACUCCGUGCCAGCAGCCGCGGUAAUACGGAGGAUGCGAGCGUUAUCCGGAUUUAUUGGGUUUAAAGGGUGCGUAGGCGGAUUAAUAAGUCAGUGGUGAAAACCUUCAGCUUAACUGGAGAACUGCCAUUGAUACUGUUAGUCUUGAGUACGGUCAAGGUAGGCGGAAUGUGUAAUGUAGCGGUGAAAUGCUUAGAUAUUACACAGAACACCGAUUGCGAAGGCAGCUUACUGGGCCAUUACUGACGCUGAUGCACGAAAGCGUGGGGAGCGAACA
RNAcentral lists this ribosomal RNA (422 nucleotides) under uncultured prokaryote. Its description in RNAcentral is "bacterial SSU rRNA". It matches the Rfam family "Bacterial small subunit ribosomal RNA", at positions 355 to 774 of the family's 1533-position model. The record is from RNAcentral.